UUGACUGCAAUUAGACUACACAAAACACACAACCAAUACAGGAGGAGGCAACCCAUAAUCAAAAGAAAGCAAAGUGAAUCCAAGUUUUUUCACAUCUACCACAGAGUGUGUGCGUAUAUAUAUAUAUGAACAUACAUAAAUAUAUCUGCAGUUUUUGAAGCCUAUCUUCAAAUGAUAAGGACCUGGCUUUAUUCCUUGUGAUAAUUCACUUUAUCUUCCCACCAUCUUCAAAAGGGCAGCCCUAGUUUGAGAGAUGUAUCGGAGCUAUCAUCCCCAAGAGGAGGGCCACUGCUGCAGCUGCAGAUGUUAGUGACAGAUUCCGAUGACAUGCCUUCUUCCUGUUGGACAGCGACGUCCGACUCCAAAUGCACUGGCCUUUUCCCUUUGCACCAGAAAGUAGUCAUCUUCUGUUUUAGCCGUUUAUUCUCUUCUAGUAGUUGAGCUCCCUUCUUUUCAAGCAUAGAGAUCUCAUUCAUUAUCUUAUCUCCCUUAGUUUCAAGCACACGCGUAAGUCCAGCUUCAAGCAGUUUUUCCAAUUGCUGCAAUUCCUCUAGGUUUAAUCCUUGCAGAUUCUCUCCCCUCAUCUGCCUUAGUUGAUAGGUCUUUUCAGCAACUUCUUUGGUCAACCGGGCGCGAUUAUUAUUCUCUAACUCCAAUUCAAGUGAUGGUCGGUCCAGUUUGUCGAGGUUAUUGGAAUGCAGAUUAUACCUUGCAAUUAUGUCCUUCAUGCUGGAGCUGCAAUACUCAAAGAGCUUGCCAGUAGCAGAGAAAAUGAUAAGAGCAACCUCAGCAUCGCAAAGAACAGAAAGCUCUUCAGCUUUCUUGAAAAGCCCUCGUCUCCUCUUAGAGAAGGUCACUUGCCUGGCUGUGAUGUUGUCAAU
This 881-nucleotide unclassified non-coding RNA is filed under the name Hevea brasiliensis (rubber tree). Lineage: Eukaryota; Viridiplantae; Streptophyta; Magnoliopsida; Malpighiales; Euphorbiaceae. The record is from RNAcentral.